AUCACUAUAUUUUGUCAAACGUAAAUAAAUAUCAGAAAAAUAAAUACCUUUUCUCUCCCCCCAAAAUCAAAACCCUAACCUUCGAAGCUCUCACGGAAACGCCACCGAUCCCCAUUUCCUCACCAAUCCAAGAAAAAAAUGAGUAGACAUUCGAGCAGAACUGUCUAUGUUGGGAAUCUACCUGGCGAUAUCCGUGAAAGAGAAGUUGAAGAUUUGUUUAUGAAGUAUGGACACAUUACUCAUAUUGACCUAAAGGUGCCACCAAGACCUCCUGGCUAUGCAUUUGUAGAGUUCGAUGAUGUUCAAGAUGCUGAGGAUGCAAUUCGUGGGCGCGAUGGCUAUGAUUUUGAUGGGCACCGAUUACGGGUGGAAGCUGCACAUGGCGGUCGUGGUAAUUCAUCUUCAAGAGAUCGAUAUAGUAGUCACAGCAAUGGUCGGGGUGGACGUGGAGUAUCCAGACGCUCUGAAUAUCGUGUUCUAGUCUCUGGAUUGCCCUCUUCUGCAUCCUGGCAGGAUCUUAAGGAUCACAUGCGAAAAGCAGGGGAUGUUUGUUUUUCCCAAGUUUUUCAUGACGGCAGAGGUACCACUGGGAUUGUGGAUUACACAAACUAUGAUGAUAUGAAAUAUGCUAUCAAAAAGCUUGAUGACUCUGAGUUCCGGAAUGCAUUUUCCAAGGCUUAUGUUCGAGUGAGGGAAUAUGAUUCAAGGCGGGACUCUAGAAGUCCUAGUCGGGGCCCAUCUCAUUCUAGAGGAAGAAGCUAUAGCCGCAGUCGUAGCCGUAGCUACAGUCCAGGCCAUAGCCGAAGUAAAUCUCCAAAGGGUAAAUCUUCACAACGAUCACCAGCUAAAUCACCAGCAAAAUCGGUUUCUCGCUCUCGUUCAAGAUCAAAGUCCCGUUCUUUAUCAGGAUAUGGAAACUUGCGGCAUACUGGAAAUUGGAAAUUAGGGACUUGGUGGGAUUUUGUUCAAUUGCCUGCAACUCAAUUUGUUGUGGAGGCAAUCGGGAUUUGGAAAUCUCCACCACUGAGCACUAGGGAUAAUUUCAUUACAAUUGUUGGCUUCAAGAUUUGCCAAGUCAAUAGGGUGCAUUGUCUGGAUUUUGUGGUGCAGUGAAAGAUUUCUUUUCUCCAGUCCACUGGUGUCUUAAAGUUGAACCCUGUGAUGGUUUAUUUUUCAUUCAUUUUUCAUCAUGUUAUUAUGAUGCAUGUGUUGCUCAUAACUUUUCGUUCUUCGGCCUUCUCUCUGUUAUGCUGUUUUAUAUUUUAUGAUUUUUGUUUUUACCUCUCUUUGGUUUGCAAACUGUGACAUUGGAGAGGCGUCAAGGCUGUUGGAUCAAAUUUGAUAAGGGAACUUGUGGAUUUAAAUUCUGUUGUUUGUGGAACUUUUGCAGAUCACGAUCAAGGUCUAGGUCUCCAUUGCCCCUGCGCAAUAAAAGCCCCAAAAAGCGCAGUGCUAGUAGGAGUCCAAGUAGGAGCAGGAGCAGGAGCAAGAGCUUGUCCAGGUGAGUUCUGAUUGUUACUAUUGAAGAAGUGGAUGGCACUGAGUGCUACAAAGUUUCUGGUAUAUUGACGUUGGGCUGAUAAACACUUAUUUGGGUUUUAAGUUAUUUGAACUUUAAACUCCUUUGAAUUUGUACUUGAGACUUGUGCCUUUUGGCACCUUAGGCUUUGAGGAAUUUGUUGGACCGUAAUUUUCUUUGCUGUAGUAGACUGUUGAAUAUCAAACUUACUAUUUGGUUUAUUUGGUAAUUGGAAUUGGCUUUAUGACAAUUAUUGUCGCUGUAA
Cicer arietinum (chickpea) is the source of this 1784-nucleotide non-coding RNA. The record is from RefSeq and is a predicted model, not a curated record. Lineage: Eukaryota; Viridiplantae; Streptophyta; Magnoliopsida; Fabales; Fabaceae.